This is a long non-coding RNA of Onychostoma macrolepis, 1104 nucleotides long. RefSeq lists it as uncharacterized. NCBI's taxonomy places the organism in Eukaryota, Metazoa, Chordata, Actinopteri, Cypriniformes, Cyprinidae. The record is from RefSeq and is a predicted model, not a curated record. The transcript is spliced from 4 exons.
GGGAAAGCAACAAUCAGCGACUAUCUAUCAAACAGGGCUGUCUAAUGAAGAGAGCAAAUGCUGUGCGGUGCACAUUAGGAGAAGAUCAGUCCAGCUAUUCAUCCAGCUGUACUGCAGACACACAAACCCUUACUGCAGAAGUAUGACACUACUCAAAGUCGUGGCAGCUUGUGAAACCGAUAGGAAACAUCUAUGGACUGCAUUUUGGUUCCUCAAGCUCUUUUGAUGCUGCACAGCUUUGCACAAUAGGGUAGGGUGCAGCUCAGACCCAUUGUGACAGAUCAGGUCCGCUAGAACCCUCCGGCAUGCUGAAUUAAUAUCCCAGGCUGCCACCCACGUCCGUCUGCCAUCACAGCAUCCCUCAAUCCAUGUCCAUCUUGGAGAAAUCACGUUGGUAAAUGACCUCUAAUAACACCAGAGGUCAUAAACGUAUUAAGGAAUAUUCUAAAUUCAAUACAAAUUAAGUUAAAUUGACAGCAUUUGUGGCAUAAUGUUGUUUACCACACACACACACAAAAAAGAAAUGAGGCACUGAAAAGUAGAAAAGUAAGGCACUUGCAUAAAUAAUACACAAGUUUUAAUGAAUUAAAAAUUAAAGUUAUUAAAAGGUUUUCAUCAUUUUUACAGACAUUUUAGGGUUUUGCCAUGUGUUGUUUUUGUUUACAUCUUGUGUGGGUAUACUUUGGAAACCAUGAGAAUUUAUUUUCUUUUAUUUAUUUAUUUUUUGUAAUCCACAUUAUGCCACAAGUGUUGUCAAACAUCUAAACCAGGAAUAAAUAUAGAUAUAAGUUCUUCCACCACAGAAGAUCUAAAAGAAAAAAAUGCCAGGCCAAUUUUUUGAGGAAUUUAAAAGCAUAAAUGUGAAGGCCUUUUUUUUUUUUUUAAAGGCACUUACAUAGAUAAUACACAAGUUGUAAUAAUAAAAUUAAAGUUGUUAAAGUACUGUAAUAUUUUUUUACAACCAUUUUAGGCAUUAUUUUGUUGUUCUUGUGGGCAUAUUUUGGAAACCGAUUUAAAAUUUGCAAAUUGAUUUUUGCUUUUUAAAAUAAUUUUUGCUGAUGCUGUUGUUGUAAUCCACACUAUGCCACUGUCAAAUCAUCUUAA